Molecule: RNA transcript, 2069 nt
Organism: Xenopus laevis (African clawed frog)
Lineage: Eukaryota; Metazoa; Chordata; Amphibia; Anura; Pipidae
Gene: dgke.L
Gene name: diacylglycerol kinase epsilon L homeolog
Exons: 12
Source: RefSeq, a predicted model, not a curated record
GAAACAGGGGUUUGUCAGGAAAAGGAAAUAGUAUAAUGAAAUGACAGACAGAAGGGAGGAGGGAAGAGGAUGAAUGGGGCAGGUGGGAGCUGUCAGCACAAAACAAGAGAUCGCAUAACUUUUAACAGCAGUGGGGAGACGCAAUAAGAAUCUCUUAGCAGUACGGAUAGUUGAAAGGGACAGAAGACAGGACGUAGUUGAAUUUGUUGCAUAGAUGUCCUAAAAGGGAUACGGUAGCAAUGGAGGAUGUUGCUGAGGAGAAGGGAUGGAGCCUGGCUGCUUGGACUGUGUGCGCGGUGUUACUGCCGGUCCUGCUCACUUUUUGGUGCAGUGUUCGCAGGUCCCGGAGGAGGAACAUCCCCCGCACAGGGAAGCACGGCUGGCAAGACACAGACCUCUUCGGGAAACCCACGUAUUGUUCUGUGUGCGGCCAGCAUAUACUGCGCGGGGUGUACUGUCGCUCGUGUGGCCUGUGUGCGGAUGAAGCCUGUGUCCGGAGAGCCAAUAGCCGCUUUCCCUGCAAGGAGAUCGUACUGCGGGCUGAGGGCAGGGGCCACCACUGGGUGCGGGGAAAUGUCCCUCUGUGCAGCCUGUGCUCAGUGUGCGGCCAGCAGUGCGGCUCUCAGCCCAAGCUCUGUGACUACAGGUGUAUUUGGUGUCAGCGGACUGUGCAUGAUGACUGCAUGCAGAGCAACUUAAAAAUCGAAGACUGUGAUUUCGGUGAAUUUAAAAAUCUCAUCAUUCCUCCAAGUUACCUCUCAGCAGUCACUCAGUUAAAGAAAGGCAAAACUACUGAUUAUGAAAAGUUGGCAUCUUCCAUGGGAAAACAAUGGACUCCCUUAAUAAUCUUGGCUAAUACUCGUAGUGGGAAUAAUAUGGGGGAAGCCCUACUCAGUGAAUUUAAAGGUCUCUUGAAUCCCAUCCAGGUGUUUGACCUCAGCAAUGUCUCUCCAUUUCAAGCACUUCAGUUGUGUACAUUAUUGCCAGACAAAUCAGUCAAGGUGCUCAUUUGUGGAGGGGAUGGCACUGUUGGCUGGGUUCUAGAUGCUGUGGAUGAAAUGAAGAUUAAGGGUCUGCAAAGUUGUGUUCCACAAGUAGCAGUUUUACCUCUUGGGACAGGAAAUGACCUGGCUAACACAUUGGGUUGGGGAGCAGGGUACGCUGGAGAUGUACUUGUUGAGCAAAUACUUCGGAACGUAAUGGAUGCGGAUAGUAUCAAACUUGACAGGUGGAAAGUUCAAGUAACAAACAAGGGUUACAGUUUAAGGAAACCAAAGGUGUUAUCAAUGAAUAACUACUUUUCAGUAGGACCAGAUGCAUUAAUGGCUUUAAAUUUUCAUACCCAUCGUGAGAAGACGCCUUCCCUGUUCUCUAGUAGAAUUGUUAAUAAGGCAGUUUACUUUUUUUAUGGGACGAAGGAUUGUUUGGUUCAGGAAUGCAAAGAUCUCAACAAGAAAGUAGAGCUGGAGUUAGAUGGAGAAAGAAUAGACUUACCGAAUUUGGAAGGAAUUGUAGUGCUGAACAUUGGUUACUGGGGAGGAGGCUGCCGCCUAUGGGAAGGAAUGGGAGAUGAACCAUAUCCCUUAUCAAGAUAUGAUGACGGACUGCUGGAGGUUGUUGGAGUUUAUGGAUCCUUUCACUGUGCACAGAUUCAAGUGAAGUUGGCAAAUCCUGUGAGACUUGGACAGGCGCACACUGUACGGCUCAUCUUGAAAAGUUCAAAAAUGCCAAUGCAGGUGGAUGGAGAGCCCUGGGCCCAAGGUCCGUGCACAGUCACCAUUACUCACAAGACACAUGCACUGAUGUUGUACCACUCAGGAGAACAGACAGAUGAUGAUGCUUCCAGUGGAUCGGACCAUGAGAAGCAUGAGCAGAGCGAUGAGGAUAUGUAGCCUUCUAAGCAGUUCUCCCCAUCUAUUUUGCUGCUGUAGCAGGUUGAUUACAAUUAUCUGUUUUAAACCUUUCCUGUAUUUGUGUAAGGUUUAAGCACACGUUUUACAGCAGUGUCCGACUGGAUCCUCAACCUUUUGAACCCGUGAGCAACAUUCAGAAGUAAAAAGAAGUUGGGG